UUGUUAGUUGCCAUCAUUCAGUUGGGCGACUCUAGCGAGACUGCCGGUAAUAAACCGGAGGAAGGUGGGGAUGACGUCAAAUCAUCAUGCCCCUUAUGACCUGGGCUACACACGUGCUACAAUGGUUGGUACAACGAGUUGCGAGUCGGUGACGGCGAGCUAAUCUCUUAAAGCCAAUCUCAGUUCGGAUUGUAGGCUGCAACUCGCCUACAUGAAGUCGGAAUCGCUAGUAAUCGCGGAUCAGCACGCCGCGGUGAAUACGUUCCCGGGCCUU
This 274-nucleotide ribosomal RNA is filed under the name uncultured Streptococcus sp. Its description in RNAcentral is "partial 16S ribosomal RNA". It matches the Rfam family "Bacterial small subunit ribosomal RNA", at positions 1108 to 1382 of the family's 1533-position model. The record is from RNAcentral. Lineage: Bacteria; Bacillati; Bacillota; Bacilli; Lactobacillales; Streptococcaceae.